CAGUAGCCACGGGAAUACAGAGGGUGCGAGCGUUAAUCGGAUUUACUGGGCGUAAAGCGUGCGUAGGCGGCUUCUUAAGUCGGAUGUGAAAUCCCUGAGCUUAACUUAGGAAUUGCAUUCGAUACUGGGAAGCUAGAGUAUGGGAGAGGAUGGUAGAAUUCCAGGUGUAGCGGUGAAAUGCGUAGAGAUCUGGAGGAAUACCGAUGGCGAAGGCAGCCAUCUGGCCUAAUACUGACGCUGAGGUACGAAAGCAUGGGGAGAAAACAGGAUUAGAUACCCCGGUAGUCCCUGUCUCUUAUAA
This 301-nucleotide ribosomal RNA is filed under the name uncultured bacterium. RNAcentral's name for it is "partial 16S ribosomal RNA". It matches the Rfam family "Bacterial small subunit ribosomal RNA", at positions 509 to 809 of the family's 1533-position model. The record is from RNAcentral.